RNAcentral lists this ribosomal RNA (26 nucleotides) under Philodendron insigne. Its description in RNAcentral is "partial 18S ribosomal RNA". Lineage: Eukaryota; Viridiplantae; Streptophyta; Magnoliopsida; Alismatales; Araceae. The record is from RNAcentral. RNAcentral also lists the same sequence under 1 other name.
CUGCCAGUAGUCAUAUGCCUUGUCUA